UAUGACCAUAUCAUAUUGAAACACCAGUUUGUGUAUGAUCACCAAAGUUAAGCAACAUUGAGCCUGGUCAGUACCUAGAUAGGUGACCACUUGGAAGCACUAGGUGUUGUAAG
Molecule: non-coding RNA, 113 nt
Organism: Acanthosepion pharaonis
Lineage: Eukaryota; Metazoa; Mollusca; Cephalopoda; Sepiida; Sepiidae
Source: the annotation of a GenBank genome assembly